This 498-nucleotide ribosomal RNA is filed under the name uncultured bacterium. RNAcentral describes it as "SSU rRNA". It matches the Rfam family "Bacterial small subunit ribosomal RNA", at positions 26 to 517 of the family's 1533-position model. The record is from RNAcentral.
AGAUUGAACGCUGGCGGCGUGCUUAACACAUGCAAGUCGAUCGGUAACAGGUGUAGCAAUACAUGCUGACGAGAGGCGGACGGGUGAGGAAUAUUUGGGAAUCUGCCCAUCAGCGGGGGACAACCCGGGGAAACCCGGGCUAAUACCGCAUACGCUCCAUGGAGGAAAGCCGGGGACCGCAAGGCCUGGCACUGAUGGAUGAGCCCAAAUCGGAUUAGCUAGUUGGCGGGGUAACGGCCCACCAAGGCUACGAUCCGUAGCUGGUCUGAGAGGACGAUCAGCCACACCGGAACUGAGACACGGUCCGGACUCCUACGGGAGGCAGCAGUGGGGAAUAUUGGACAAUGGGCGCAAGCCUGAUCCAGCGACGCCGCGUGGGUGAAGAAGGCCUGCGGGUUGUAAAGCCCUUUCGGUAGGGACGAAAACUCUCGACUUAACACGUCGAGGGAUUGACUUAACCUACAUAAGAAGCACCGGCUAACUCUGUGCCAGCAGCCG